Brassica oleracea var. oleracea is the source of this 564-nucleotide long non-coding RNA. RefSeq lists it as uncharacterized. The record is from RefSeq and is a predicted model, not a curated record. The transcript has 2 exons. Lineage: Eukaryota; Viridiplantae; Streptophyta; Magnoliopsida; Brassicales; Brassicaceae.
CUUUUUAAAAACAUAAUCAAUAAUUUAUUAUGUUGAUUUUGAUUUAAUAGUUAUGAACCGAUAAAUAUCUAUAAGAUACAUGGUUAAUAUAUAAGGGAUCUUAACCAAACUGAUCAUAUUUCUAAAUGAACCGUAUCGAACCGGACAAAAUUUAAAUUGGUUCGUUUUCGAGAUUUUAAGUGGUUGGGUUUGGUUUAUAUAUUAUUAUAUCACAACAACCUAACACACUCGCUCCCUCCGCCCCCGUCGAAGAAAAAGAAGAAGCAGUUCAAGAAAGCUUUCGGACUUUGGAACAACUAACUGAAUAUGUGUCUAAAGCUUGGCCGUGAUUCAUGCGUUGUGAAUCUUUCUCCUAAUUUUAGUCUUGAGAGUUUGAGGUUCCUUGAGAGCUUGCAAAUGGAGUAUUGUUCAAGUUGCAAUGCGAGAUAACCAGUUCCAGCUAGUGGAACAAGACGAUCUACUUAUCUUAAUAUAUAUAGUUUCACUACAAAAUCACCUUUGUAUAUGUUCAUGUUACUGACUGCUAUUGUGUGAGUUUAUGAAAAAUCAAAUAUGAUUUUGUUA